Long non-coding RNA from Cydia fagiglandana, 513 nucleotides. RefSeq lists it as uncharacterized. NCBI's taxonomy places the organism in Eukaryota, Metazoa, Arthropoda, Insecta, Lepidoptera, Tortricidae. The transcript is spliced from 3 exons. The record is from RefSeq and is a predicted model, not a curated record.
UCACAUAUUCAAUUCCAGUGUUCCGAGAACUGGCAAAGCUCUGCAGUAACAAUUUACCUGCCUACAACCUUCAUCUACAGACUGUCUCCAGUAACAUGACAGACGACCAUGGGUCCUACUACUACAGGUACUUUGAAGACUCCUGCUUGAUGGCGGUAUUUCAAGAAUUUUGCUGAAACAAUGGCUGCUCGACAGACAGAAAAAAUGAUCCCUGCGUUAUUCUUAUCUAUGUAUACAAGAUACACUAGCAGUUAGAAAAUGAAGAAUGUUCUUAAAAGUCCCUGACAAGACUGAAUGUUGAAAGAAAGGCACCUUCUAGACAGCAGUAUUUCUAAGAACACUACCCAGAACCAAGACUGAAAACCGAAGAAAUGUAUUUAAGGCCUUAAUUAUUAAAUAAUGAAGUAAAAUUUUGUCUUAUUAGUUACAAGGCAAAGCAAAUAUUUUUCUUAAGAAUCCAAAAAUAGCGUACCCACUCCGCUUUCACUUGCAACAAAAUGUAGCCUGAAAGGC